RNAcentral lists this ribosomal RNA (474 nucleotides) under Escherichia coli. Its description in RNAcentral is "bacterial LSU rRNA". It matches the Rfam family "Bacterial large subunit ribosomal RNA", at positions 1410 to 1869 of the family's 2925-position model. Lineage: Bacteria; Pseudomonadati; Pseudomonadota; Gammaproteobacteria; Enterobacterales; Enterobacteriaceae. The record is from RNAcentral.
CGUAGUCGAUGGGAAACAGGUUAAUAUUCCUGUACUUGGUGUUACUGCGAAGGGGGGACGGAGAAGGCUAUGUUGGCCGGGCGACGGUUGUCCCGGUUUAAGCGUGUAGGCUGGUUUUCCAGGCAAAUCCGGAAAAUCAAGGCUGAGGCGUGAUGACGAGGCACUACGGUGCUGAAGCAACAAAUGCCCUGCUUCCAGGAAAAGCCUCUAAGCAUCAGGUAACAUCAAAUCGUACCCCAAACCGACACAGGUGGUCAGGUAGAGAAUACCAAGGCGCUUGAGAGAACUCGGGUGAAGGAACUAGGCAAAAUGGUGCCGUAACUUCGGGAGAAGGCACGCUGAUAUGUAGGUGAAGUCCCUCGCGGAUGGAGCUGAAAUCAGUCGAAGAUACCAGCUGGCUGCAACUGUUUAUUAAAAACACAGCACUGUGCAAACACGAAAGUGGACGUAUACGGUGUGACGCCUGCCCGGUGC